AUGGUAGGGCCUUUUAAGCAAUCUAAAGAUAAGAAGACCCACCUGUUGGUGGCGGUUGAGAAGUUCACUAAAUGGGUUGAAGCGGAGCCAGUAAGCAAGUGUGACGCAGCCACGGCGGUUCAGUUCAUCAAAAAGGUGAUCUUCCGUUUUGGUUUUCCACAUAGCAUUAUCACAGAUAAUGGCACGAACCUUUCUAAAGGCGAGAUGGAGGACUUCUGUCAACGAGAGCACAUCCGGCUUGAUGUAGCCUCUGUGGCUCACCCCCAAUCUAAUGGUCAAGCUGAGCGAGCUAAUCAGGAAAUUUUAAAGGGUAUAAAGCCCCGACUUAUGGUUCCUUUGAAGCGGACGCCGGGUUGUUGGGUCGAGGAAUUACCAUCUGUUUUAUGGAGCAUAAAUACCACCCCAAACCGGUCUACA
This 417-nucleotide ribosomal RNA is filed under the name Triticum aestivum (bread wheat). Its description in RNAcentral is "partial small subunit ribosomal RNA". The record is from RNAcentral. Lineage: Eukaryota; Viridiplantae; Streptophyta; Magnoliopsida; Poales; Poaceae.